Xenia sp. Carnegie-2017 is the source of this 1314-nucleotide long non-coding RNA. RefSeq lists it as uncharacterized. Lineage: Eukaryota; Metazoa; Cnidaria; Anthozoa; Malacalcyonacea; Xeniidae. The transcript has 3 exons. The record is from RefSeq and is a predicted model, not a curated record.
AUGUCCCUUGAUGCAAUUCAAGAAAGAUUUGAUAAUUAAAUAGCUUUUAUUAGAUCGCGCUAGCAAAUGGUUUUAAAGAAAAAGUUUGUGUUCUUGCUAAAACCGCUUAUCAGUUAAACGAUAACGAAAUUCCAGAAAAGGUAGUGUUUUUGAAGCGCAAAUUGAUGUAAAAUGACAAUGGUGAUUGGUUUACAUACAUAUAUUGAAAAUGACUUAAAUUUUCCAAUUCAAUGACUUAAAUUUUCCAAUUCAAUUUUACAAUUUUUCUGUUUUAUAUACGCUUAGGUACGUAAUAAAUGGACGGCUGUCUCUAUGCGAUCAAAAGAAUUCCUUUGAAUCCAAAAAGUGUACUGUUCAAUCACAAAAUUACUCGAGAAGUGAAGUUACUUUCUAGAUUGAAUCAUGAAAAUAUUGUAAGAUAUUAUAAUUCGUGGAUUGAGGUAGAAGAAAUAUCUGAAAAUGAAACUUCCAACAGUGAAACAAAAUCAAGCAUGACAGAGGAGAAACAACGACGCCAGGUUAAAGAUAGCUUGAUGAAAUUGAACGUAGUUGAAGCACAUAGCGUACGCUCGAGAGUCUUGGAUAAGGACUCGUGGACCAAUGAAAACACGAAUGAUUCCAAGCAUGUUGACGACUAUAAAAGCUCGUGUGAGGACGAGGUUACAAUACAAACACAAUCCACAAAUAACAACGAGUCUACCGAAGAUAUUUUCAAAAGAAACAUCGAUGAAUCCACAUAUACAGUUUGGAAGCUCGUUGUCUCACGUGGUAUAUAGUCGUGGGAACUGUUAAUGAUGUUACUGAAGAUAUGUAAAAAUAAUUACCGGAAUCUUGCCUUUAGGACGAGAAAUCUGAUUUCGAAUGUGAACAGGAAGCAAUCACCACAAGAGAUUUUAACGUUGAUCGAAAGUGUACUCUACAAUCUUUGUAUAUGUAGAUGGCACAUUGUAAGAAGAGUACUCUAAGAAAUGUUAUCAACGAGAGAUAGUACAAGGACGAAAAGAAAAUGUGUCGGCUUCUCCGUGAGAUUGUAGAAGGAUCAGUUCACGUUCAUUCACAGCAUACACAACGAGAGAUCCGGCAGUUGCAACAAAAGUAAAAAAAAAGUUACAACUUCAGACGCUUUAAGUUUAGCAAUAACUAAAAUAGCAGUAGCAGCAAGAACUACAACAUCGUUCAAGUAGCAAACAAAGUUCAAAGUCUUUUGAGCAACAUAUACAGACCAUGGAACAUAAAAAAUUGAUUUCAAGCAAAAUAUCUCUUCUAGCCUAAUGUUGUAAAUUUUCAUCAAUAAAUGUUAGAAUUUGUCAAAUA